GCAGAGACCACCCCUCGUACCUUUUGCAUCAUGGUUCAGCAAGUUUACUCAAGCAAAGAGAACUCUAGUUUGCACCCCCGAAACUUGACGAGCUACUCCGAGACAGCCAACUAUGGGCUAACCCGUCUCUGUGGCAAAGGAGUGGGAAGAUCUCCGAGUAGAGGCAAAAAACCUACCGAGCCAAGUUAUAGCUGGUUGCCUAAUAAAUGAAUAAAAGUUCAGCCCCGCCUAGCCCGACUCAAACUAGUUUUACUAUCGAAGACAAAGAGCUUGCCCGCGGGAGUUAAUCAGAGGAGGUACAGCUCCCCUGAUACAGGAUACAACCUUUUUAGGAGACAAAAGAAUAUUACCCAACAAGGCCCUGGGCCUCAGUGGGCCUGAAAGCAGCCACCUGAUCCGAAAGCGUUAAAGCUCCGGCCGUGAGAAAGCCUUUUAUCUAAUUUUGUUAUCUAUUCCCCUAAACAUUAUUGGGCCUCCCCAUGCAUUCAUGGUAGAGACUAUGCUGAAACGAGUAACAAGAAGAAUGAACUUCUCCACGCACAAGUGUAUGUCAGAUUGGACCAACCACCGACAAUCAACGAACCCAAUAAAAGAGGGCCCCGCACACCCGCCACCUCUGGCCAAGAAAACCGUGCUAUUCAAGAUCGUUACCCCAACACAGGAGUGCUAACAUAAGGAAAGACUAAAAGGAAAAAAAGGAACUCGGCAAACCUAGACCUCGCCUGUUUACCAAAAACAUCGCCUCUUGCACCACGAAGUAUAAGAGGUCCCACCU
Molecule: ribosomal RNA, 775 nt
Filed under: Lycengraulis batesii (Bates' sabretooth anchovy)
Lineage: Eukaryota; Metazoa; Chordata; Actinopteri; Clupeiformes; Engraulidae
Description: partial 16S ribosomal RNA
Rfam family: Bacterial large subunit ribosomal RNA
Source: RNAcentral